AGUGAACGCUGGCGGCAGGCCUAACACAUGCAAGUCGAGCGGCAGCACAGUAAGAGCUUGCUCUUACGGGUGGCGAGUGGCGGACGGGUGAGGAAUACAUCGGAAUCUACUUUUUCGUGGGGGAUAACGUAGGGAAACUUACGCUAAUACCGCAUACGACCUACGGGUGAAAGCAGGGGAUCUUCGGACCUUGCGCGAUUGAAUGAGCCGAUGUCGGAUUAGCUAGUUGGCGGGGUAAAGGCCCACCAAGGCGACGAUCCGUAGCUGGUCUGAGAGGAUGAUCAGCCACACUGGAACUGAGACACGGUCCAGACUCCUACGGGAGGCAGCAGUGGGGAAUAUUGGACAAAGGGCGCAAGCCUGAUCCAGCCAUACCGCGUGGGUGAAGAAGGCCUUCGGGUUGUAAAGCCCUUUUGUUGGGAAAGAAAAGCAGCAGGUUAAUACCCCGCUGUUCUGACGGUACCCAAAGAAUAAGCACCGGCUAACUUCGUG
RNAcentral lists this ribosomal RNA (492 nucleotides) under uncultured bacterium. RNAcentral describes it as "partial 16S ribosomal RNA". It matches the Rfam family "Bacterial small subunit ribosomal RNA", at positions 29 to 507 of the family's 1533-position model. The record is from RNAcentral.